ACCUGGCUGGCUCAGUCAGUGGAGCAUGUGACUCUUGAUCUCGGGAUUGUGAGUUCAAGCCCCACGUUGGGUG
This 73-nucleotide transfer RNA is filed under the name Ailuropoda melanoleuca (giant panda). It matches the Rfam family "tRNA". Rfam says of the family: Transfer RNA (tRNA) molecules are approximately 80 nucleotides in length. Their secondary structure includes four short double-helical elements and three loops (D, anti-codon, and T loops). Lineage: Eukaryota; Metazoa; Chordata; Mammalia; Carnivora; Ursidae. The record is from Rfam by way of RNAcentral.